Molecule: long non-coding RNA, 2722 nt
Organism: Pteropus alecto (black flying fox)
Lineage: Eukaryota; Metazoa; Chordata; Mammalia; Chiroptera; Pteropodidae
Exons: 2
Source: RefSeq, a predicted model, not a curated record
GCUGGGAAUGCCACAAGUGGUGGAUUUGGGUUUUUGGUUUUUGUUUUGUUUUGAGGUUAUUCUGAGAGGCUUUGCCAUCCAAUUUGUAAAACAAAAGGGGGCGUGAUUCCCCUUCCUUUUUCCCUGUGGGCUUUGGGAAGGCAGGGGCAUGGUACUCACAGCCUCCUGGAGAGGGUGACCUCUGACACCCAUUGUGUCCUAUGACUGUGUACCCAGUGGGGGACCCACUCCGAGGGUCGCGGCCCUGCUGCCCACAAGCUCUCACUGUUUGCUGGUACUGAACCCCCUAACCCUGCACUUCCUGUGAGUGACGUUGGGGACGCCCCACCUUCCCCUGGGGCUGCCGUGGCGGAGGCCAGUGCCCAGCUCGAAGCCUCAAGAACUGAGUUGCUGAUUUGUUAUUCUCAUGGGCUCAUAACUGCGUUGGGCACUGGGGAGGAAGGAGGACUUGGGGAUGGAGAAAACGCGGCAGCUGUGACAUUCAGGAGCUCGAGGCCUAAGGGGACAGACAGAGGAACAAUUUUACGUGAAGAGACUGAAGUCCUGAGAACCGAAGUGAUUUGUCAGGUCUCAGAGUGGAGCUCAGACUGGAACUCAAGUCUGCUGACUCCAGGGCCCCACCUAACUGUGUUUCAGAGAAGGGGCCUUUUGAGUUGGGUUUCAUAGGAUGAGUAGGAGUUCACCAGCUGGCGACCAGUUCAGGCACAGAAUCAGCAAGUGCAAAGGCCAGGAGGCGUGACAUUAGAGGGCUUGUUCGGGAGGCGGAAAAGCAGAUUAGCGGGGCUGGUUCCAGGGAGGUUCAGAAGAAUGUUUGCAGCCCGAAGGCCAAGGAAAGGCCUGCGUUUCAUCUUCUGGACAAAAAGGGCCAGCGACAUAUUUUAAGCAAGACAAUGACGUGAUUAAACGUCUAGCUCAUUUUAUUAGAGAUCCAGUGAAUGUGCUUGUUCAUCAGAAAAUGAGGAAACAGAACAACAGCUAGAUUCCUAAGGAUUAUACUUUAACUUUUGGGCUGAGUUACGAGAAAAAAAAUGUAGCGUAUCAUCACUUAGGAAGGGCUGGCGCGCUCUCGAAGGUGCGAGCAGCUGCGUGUUUUCCAGGGCUUUGAGGGCUCACCUACUGUGUCGGCCUCACAGGAACCUCGAACUGUUGCUAAGAGAGGUUGUUUCCCCUUCUGUCAGGAAGCUGGAUGUCUCCAUCAGGAAAGGAAAGCAGCCGGUGGCAGACGUCGCGCGUGUGUCAGUUCCUGGGCCCACCUUCUCGCUUUGCGUGAGACCUCUGGUGUUUGGCUGAGUGGAUGGCUGCCUAGAAUCCAGGCUGCUUCUCAACCUCCCCUGUGGCCAGGGGUGGCCAUUCGAUGAAGUUCUGCACGUGAGCAGAAGUGGCAUUUGGAGCUUCCUAGAGGUAUCCUUAAAGGGAGGAGGGUGUGUGCGCUUUGAAGUCUCCUUCCUGGCUGGAAUGCAGGCGUGGUAGCUGGAGCACUGGCAGCGGUGUUGGGCUGUGAUGGCGUAAAGCAACAAGACGGAGGAGCCUGGACCGUGGCGCCUCUGCCAGCCCUGGAAGGCUGAUCCCAGGACAGCAUUCGCAUGAGAGGAAUAAGUUUCUCAUUGGAGCCGCUGUGAUCUGGGGAUUCCAGAGGCUCUGCAAACCUAACACGGAUUUAAACAGUAUCGCUGGGAGUAAGCAGAAGGUGACAAUAGCAACAAAUGCCGUGGGAAAGUAACAUGCUGAAACUGAUCCAUCCGAUCCGGCCGCCCUCCAAGGCUCUGAACCUGAAAGCUGCUCUAUUUGUUAAACUCAUAAUAACAACAAUACACGAAAAGCAUCAGUCAUCAUGAGGCCUGACAGAUCGUUGGGCAGGGAUGGGCAUUCUCACCACGCGACUCCAGGCUGUUCAGUGCCUGCCACUACCUGAAGUCACCUGGCGGCGUGCGCCCCGCGGGCUGAAAGCAGCCGCAAUAGGAUGAGGCCUGCCCCCCUGGCACCCUCGGGGGCGCCUCGACUGCUAACCUGGGCCCUUUUCCAUUUCUCCUCCCGGAGCCCAGUCCGCUAGCCACACCGAGCAGCUCCGCGUCCAGCAGGGCCCACGUUCGUUCCGGGAGCCAGCACGGGGUGAGUGAACGCUCGUUGAGGGUGGGCAGCCGGCACCCAGCGCAGGCAUCCCCGCUGAGGAGUCCGGCGCUGUCUGGCUCUGCUCUGCGGCACGCUGUCCUCGCCCCGCUCUGCUCAUCAGCUUUCCGGUCCUGCCCCGGCCUCCUGCCCUGGGCUCCGAAGAGACCAGAUCUGCCCUUUCCCUCUGCCUGGCCGGUUGCUGCCUGCUCCUCAGCCUGGCAUCCAGGCCUCAGUGCCGACUUCAGCUUCACCGGAUUUUCAGACACGACCCUCUGCUCUAGCCGCGAGGUUCCUGCCUCCGAGCCUUUGUCUACCAUCCCCCGGCCAGCUCUGCGCCGGCCCCACACAUCCCACUCGUCCUGAUGGGCCAGCGUCACAGCUGCUGACUGGGGCGCUGGGCAGGUCCCCGAACCUCCCUGAGUUUUGAUGUCUUCGUGCGUAAGACACUCAUUCAACACAUAUUGUUGAGCUCUUACUAUGUCUGCAGCAGUCCGGGGUCAGCGGUGGGGAAAGCAAAUUUUUUACCGUCUGUCCUUUUGUACCUUAUAAAUGCUGUAUCAAAUGCAACUGUUACUUAUUUACCUUUUUUAUUAAAAUAAUAAUUGAACAUGGA